ACAUCUUUAGCUAAAAUGGUCAAAGCAUGUGCCUUCGAAGCAUAGUAAUAUUGGUUCGAAUCCAAUAAGAUGUC
This 74-nucleotide transfer RNA is filed under the name Macrolepiota fuliginosa. RNAcentral's name for it is "tRNA-Arg". It matches the Rfam family "tRNA". Rfam says of the family: Transfer RNA (tRNA) molecules are approximately 80 nucleotides in length. Their secondary structure includes four short double-helical elements and three loops (D, anti-codon, and T loops). Further hydrogen bonds mediate the characteristic L-shaped molecular structure. tRNAs have two regions of fundamental functional importance: the anti-codon, which is responsible for specific mRNA codon recognition, and the 3' end, to which the tRNAs corresponding amino acid is attached (by aminoacyl-tRNA synthetases). tRNAs cope with the degeneracy of the genetic code in two manners: having more than one tRNA (with a specific anti-codon) for a particular amino acid; and 'wobble' base-pairing, i.e. permitting non-standard base-pairing at the 3rd anti-codon position. Lineage: Eukaryota; Fungi; Basidiomycota; Agaricomycetes; Agaricales; Agaricaceae. The record is from RNAcentral.